CCUAACACAUGCAAGUCGAGCGGUAGAGAGAAGCUUGCUUCUCUUGAGAGCGGCGGACGGGUGAGUAAUACCUAGGAAUCUGCCUGAUAGGUGGGGAUAACGUUCGGAAACGGACGCUAAUACCGCAUACGUCCUACGGGAGAAAGCAGGGGACCUUCGGGCCUUGCGCUAUCAGAUGAGCCUAGGUCGGAUUAGCUAGUUGGUGAGGUAAUGGCUCACCAAGGCUACGAUCCGUAACUGGUCUGAGAGGAUGAUCAGUCACACUGGAACUGAGACACGGUCCAGACUCCUACGGGAGGCAGCAGUGGGGAAUAUUGGACAAUGGGCGAAAGCCUGAUCCAGCCAUGCCGCGUGUGUGAAGAAGGUCUUCGGAUUGUAAAGCACUUUAAGUUGGGAGGAAGGGCAUUAACCUAAUACGUUGGUGUCUUGACGUUACCGACAGAAUAAGCACCGGCUAACUCUGUG
This 465-nucleotide ribosomal RNA is filed under the name uncultured bacterium. Its description in RNAcentral is "bacterial SSU rRNA". It matches the Rfam family "Bacterial small subunit ribosomal RNA", at positions 47 to 507 of the family's 1533-position model. The record is from RNAcentral.